Vicia villosa (hairy vetch) is the source of this 1709-nucleotide long non-coding RNA. RefSeq lists it as uncharacterized. The record is from RefSeq and is a predicted model, not a curated record. NCBI's taxonomy places the organism in Eukaryota, Viridiplantae, Streptophyta, Magnoliopsida, Fabales, Fabaceae. The transcript has 3 exons.
UCCAAUCAAAAUAGAUAAGAUCUCCCUACAUUUAAAAACAAACAAGAACUAAUUAUAUUUGUGUUAAUUAAAUUAUUAAAUAGUUCUUGUAAGAAUUUGAUUUUGAAAAUAUCUUGAUUUUUUGCCUUUUGUGUUGUUCUUGUUGUGUGCGCGAGAGCUGAGGGCGGAGAGUACGAGUCUUGAGAUGUUUGAAGGGAAUUUGAGGUCUAGCUCUACCUCGUGGAAGCUUCAACGUGAAGUUUCGAGAGGUAUCUCGAGGGAGAGAGAGAACGAAGGUGAUGACUGAGUGAUGAUGGAAGGUGUUGCCGAGGGAGGUUAGAGAUGAAAGUGGUGAUGAGAAUUGAUGGAGAUGGGAGAGAAAUGGGGGUGAUGAAGUUGUGAGAGAGUGAGGUGGUUGAAGAUGAAGAGAAAAUGGCGUAUUGAGAGAGGAGAAAAGCAAUGGUGGAGUGGAGUGUGGAGAAAAGUGGCGGAGAGAGGAGUGAAAAAAUGGUUAUGAGGUCAGAAGUGAGAGUGAAGAUAGGUUAGAACUGAGACGAAAACAGUUAGAGAGUUAGUUAGAGAAGAGAAAAAUUCUGUUAUGAGUUGAAUGUUGAGGAUUGAGAUUUUACAUAUGCAGUUAUGAAAGUUAGUUAUAGUUAGUUUUGGAGAGUUUGUUACAUAUGCUUGAAAUCCUGUUAUUGGCUAUGUCAAAUGUUAGUUAUAUGACAGUUAGAAAUUAGGUUCUAUGUUUCAGUUUGGUUAAAGGGUAGUUAUCAAUUCGGUUAGGAUGCAGAGAGAAUUAAUUACAGCUCUGUUGAGUUUGUUACUGAAGGUUGGAGUUAAAUGAAAGUCAAAAAAACCAGUUAGUUUUAUUUUGUAAAACGUUGCCAAUGUGUAAUAUGUUAAUAUCAAUCAACAAAAAAAAAUAUCAAUUCCUGGAAGCAUGUUUGGUAUCCGCUAAUGGUUCUUUUUUUUCACAAGGAUGGAGUCCCGUUUACUCUCGGCAAAGCUCUACUGCAAGAAAUGGUUAUGGUUUGGCAUAAGAUCGGCAAGAAGCAAUGGCGUGGAUUUCGAAGGGACCAUGAGCGCAUGGGAGCGGCAAUGGUUGUGGUUGGAGGUUGGUAUUGCGGUACUGUCGGAAUAAAGCUCCAUGAGUUUUGAAGAAGUUCGGGAACAUCUUAGGAUAAAUUCUUGAGUAUUCCAAACAGAGAGGCAGUGAAGGGUAGCCGUAUCGAAAGGGAGAGAAAUUUUUGAGACUUGGAUUGCUGAUACUUGAGUCGGUUUUGUAGGCCCACACAUGUCUUCCAGUGCAGCUGCCCGUAACCUCUUGCUUUGGGGCGAAUUAGCAAACGUGUGAAUGCUGCUUUGACGUAUGAUUUUGCACAUGGAGUGAUGCUACUGAAGCUGUUUUGGGCAGGUCUGAGUCUGCUGUUUUAAGCCUUUAUCGAUUUCUGCAUAAUGUGUUUUUUCUUGUUUUGGUAUUGAUGCAGGGUUACUAUGUGGGUGGAUCGGUUUGAAACUGUUCUUUGAUUGAAGUUUGAUGCAGUAUAAGUGGAUGUGCUUAUGGAAAGUGUUGAAAGGUGAUUGGUGUUGUGUUUAUUUUUGAGGCGCAUGUUCCGGUAUGCAUUGCUGAACUGGGACUGGUAUCCUUUUUUUAAUUAUGCAGGAUACAGUAGCAUGGGCUUGGCCUGGCAUCAUAGUUCAAACGGAAAUAUAUAUAUAUAUAUAUA